Long non-coding RNA from Oncorhynchus gorbuscha (pink salmon), 202 nucleotides. RefSeq lists it as uncharacterized. NCBI's taxonomy places the organism in Eukaryota, Metazoa, Chordata, Actinopteri, Salmoniformes, Salmonidae. The record is from RefSeq and is a predicted model, not a curated record. The transcript has 3 exons.
CAAUGGGCUGUGUCGCUACGGCGCCCGCAUCGACUGCUGCUGGGGAUGGACCCGGCGCUCCUGGGGCCACUGCCAACCAGGCGUCUUCGCUCUAACCCACAGAGUAGUCGGGAGAAUACGGUGUCCGCCACAAGCUCUGUGCCAGCACGGGUGUAAGCAUGGAGACUGCGUAGGACCCAGCAAAUGCAAGUGUCACUCCCGG